RNAcentral lists this ribosomal RNA (1375 nucleotides) under uncultured bacterium. RNAcentral's name for it is "bacterial SSU rRNA". It matches the Rfam family "Bacterial small subunit ribosomal RNA", at positions 28 to 1381 of the family's 1533-position model. The record is from RNAcentral.
AUUGAACGCUGGCGGCAGGCCUAACACAUGCAAGUCGAACGGUAACAGGAAACAGCUUGCUGUUUCGCUGACGAGUGGCGGACGGGUGAGUAAUGUCUGGGAAACUGCCUGAUGGAGGGGGAUAACUACUGGAAACGGUAGCUAAUACCGCAUAACGUCGCAAGACCAAAGAGGGGGACCCUCGGGCCUCUUGCCAUCGGAUGUGCCCAGAUGGGAUUAGCUUGUUGGUGGGGUAACGGCUCACCAAGGCAACGAUCCCUAGCUGGUCUGACAAGAUGACCAGCCGCUCUGGAACUGAGACACUGACCACCACUCCUACAGGAGGUAGGAGUGGGGAAUAUUGCACAUCGUCCGCAAGGCUGAUGCACCCGUGCGACCUGUAUCAAGAAAGCCUUCAGGUUGUACAGUACUUUCAGCGUCUGGUAUUAGGAGAAAAGUUAAUGCGUUAGUUACUGUGCGCGUCUUGACGAUACCUAAUCAGAAAGCCCCGGGUAACUACGUGCCAGCAGGCGGCGUUAAUACUUCGGUGGCAAGUGUUAUCCGGAAUUACUGGGCGUAAAGCGCACGCAGGCGGUUUGUUAAGUCAGAUGUGAAAUCCCCGGGCUCACCUGGUAACUGCAUCUGAUACUGGCAAGCUUGAGUCUCGUAGAGGGGGGUAGAAUUCCAGGUGUAGCGGUGAAAUGCGUAGAGAUCUGGAGGAAUACCGGUGGCGAAGGCGGCCCCCUGGACGAAGACUGACGCUCAGGUGCGAAAGCGUGGGGAGCAAACAGGAUUAGAUACCCUGGUAGUCCACGCCGUAAACGAUGUCGACUUGGAGGUUGUGCCCUUGAGGCGUGGCUUCCGGAGCUAACGCGUUAAGUCGACCGCCUGGGGAGUACGGCCGCAAGGUUAAAACUCAAAUGAAUUGACGGGGGCCCGCACAAGCGGUGGAGCAUGUGGUUUAAUUCGAUGCAACGCGAAGAACCUUACCUGGUCUUGACAUCCACGGAAGUUUUCAGAGAUGAGAAUGUGCCUUCGGGAACCGUGAGACAGGUGCUGCAUGGCUGUCGUCAGCUCGUGUUGUGAAAUGUUGGGUUAAGUCCCGCAACGAGCGCAACCCUUAUCCUUUGUUGCCAGCGGUCCGGCCGGGAACUCAAAGGAGACUGCCAGUGAUAAACUGGAGGAAGGUGGGGAUGACGUCAAGUCAUCAUGGCCCUUACGACCAGGGCUACACACGUGCUACAAUGGCGCAUACAAAGAGAAGCGACCUCGCGAGAGCAAGCGGACCUCAUAAAGUGCGUCGUAGUCCGGAUUGGAGUCUGCAACUCGACUCCAUGAAGUCGGAAUCGCUAGUAAUCGUGGAUCAGAAUGCCACGGUGAAUACGUUCCCGGGCCU